UACGAAGGGGGCUAGCGUUGUUCGGAAUUACUGGGCGUAAAGCGCGCGUAGGCGGAUCAUCAAGUCGGGGGUGAAAUCCCGGGGCUCAACCCCGGAAUGGCCUUCGAGACUGGUGGUCUUGAGUUCGAGAGAGGUGAGUGGAAUUCCGAGUGUAGAGGUGAAAUUCGUAGAUAUUCGGAAGAACACCAGUGGCGAAGGCGGCUCACUGGACUGGUAUUGACGCUGAGGUGCGAAAGCGUGGGGAGCAAACAGG
This 253-nucleotide ribosomal RNA is filed under the name uncultured bacterium. Its description in RNAcentral is "partial 16S ribosomal RNA". It matches the Rfam family "Bacterial small subunit ribosomal RNA", at positions 524 to 776 of the family's 1533-position model. The record is from RNAcentral.